Molecule: long non-coding RNA, 491 nt
Filed under: Rattus norvegicus (Norway rat)
Lineage: Eukaryota; Metazoa; Chordata; Mammalia; Rodentia; Muridae
Description: long non-coding RNA NONRATT021937
Source: RNAcentral
CCAGCAUCAUGAUCAAAUAUGAUUUUGAAACUAGAUCUUGCUUUUCUGGUGUGUUUGGAUAUUCCAUGUUUGUUUUGGUGGGAGAAUUGGGCUCCGAUGAUGGCAUGUAGUCUUGGUUUCUGUUGCUUGGGUUCCUGCGCUUGCCUCUCGCCAUCAGAUUAUCUCUAGUGUUACUUUGUUCUGCUGUUUCUGACAGUGGCUAGACUGUCCUAUAAGCCUGUGUGUCAGGAGUGCUGUAGACCUGUUUUCCUGUUUUCUUUCAGCCAGUUAUGGGGACAGAGUGUUCUGCUUUCGGGCGUGUAGUUUUUCCUCUCUACAGGUCUUCAGCUGUUCCUGUGGGCCUGUGUCUUGAGGUCACCAGGCAGCUUUCUUGCAGCAGAAAAUUUGGUCUUACCUGUGGUCCCGAGGCUCAGGUUUGCUCGUGGGGUGCUGCCCAGGGGCUCUCUGCAGGGGCAGCAACCAGGAAGACCUGUGCCGCCCCUUCCGGGAGC